UUAAAUCAGUUAUCGUUUAUUUGAUAGUGCCUAUCCUACUUGGAUAACCGUGGUAAUUCUAGAGCUAAUACAUGCUAAAAAUCCCGACUUCGGAAGGGAUGCAUUUAUUGGAUACAGAACCAACGCCCUUCGGGGCUUUCUGGUGAAUCACAAUAACUUCGCGGAUCGCACGGCCUUGUGCCGGCGAUGGUUCAUUCAAAUUUCUGCCCUAUCAACUUUCGACGGCUGGGUCUUGGCCAGCCGUGGUGACAACGGGUAACGGAGGGUUAGGGCUCGACCCCGGAGAAGGAGCCUGAGAGACGGCUACUACAUCCAAGGAAGGCAGCAGGCGCGCAAAUUACCCAAUCCCGACUCGGGGAGGUAGUGACAAUAAAUACUGAUCCAGGGCUCUUUUGGGUCUUGGAAUUGGAAUGAGUACAAUUUAAAUCCCUUAACGAGGAACAAUUGGAGGGCAAGUCUGGUGCCAGCAGCCGCGGUAAUUCCAGCUCCAAUAGCGUAUAUUAAAGUUGUUGAGGUUAAAAAGCUCGUAGUUGAACCUUGGCCCCGGCUAGCUGGUCCGCCUCACCGCGAGUACUGGUUCGGCCGGGGCUUUCCCUCUGGGGAACCUCAUGCCCUUCACUGGGUGUGCUGGGGAACCAGGACUUUUACUGUGAACAAAUCAGAUCGCUCAAAGAAGGCCUUCGCUCGAAUGCAUUAGCAUGGAAUAAUAGAAUAGGACGUGCGGUUCUAUUUUGUUGGUUUCUAGGACCGCCGUAAUGAUUAAUAGGGACAGUCGGGGGCGUCCGUAUUCAAUUGUCAGAGGUGAAAUUCUUGGAUCUAUUGAAGACGAACUACUGCGAAAGCAUUCGCCAAGGAUGUUUUCAUUAAUCAGGAACGAAAGUUAGGGGAUCGAAGACGAUCAGAUACCGUCGUAGUCUUAACCAUAAACUAUGCCGAUUAGGGAUCGGACGAUGUUAUUUUUUGACUCGUUCGGC
This 974-nucleotide ribosomal RNA is filed under the name Pseudophialocephala aquatica. RNAcentral's name for it is "SSU rRNA". It matches the Rfam family "Eukaryotic small subunit ribosomal RNA", at positions 101 to 1084 of the family's 1831-position model. The record is from RNAcentral. Lineage: Eukaryota; Fungi; Ascomycota; Sordariomycetes; Chaetosphaeriales; Chaetosphaeriaceae.